CCUCGUCAAAAGCUUAAGUUCAAACCUUCACUUCUUCUUUCAUCACUUCAGCCGUCACAGAAUCCUGGUAGCCAAAAUGAUUUUCAAGAGGUACAUUGAGAUUGGAAGGGUUGCUCAGAUCAACUACGGCAAAGACUAUGGGAGGCUAGUGGUCAUUGUCGAUGUCAUUGACCAGAACAGAUGGUAGAGAAGAUGAAUUUGAGAAGAUGAAUUUGAAAUCUGAAACUCUUUGAAUGGACAAAGGAAAAAAGGAGCAUUUGGUGAAUUUGCUACUGGGAUUGGAAACAGUGAUGUUGGUUUUGUUUUGGGAAUUAGGAAGCUUAUGUUCCAGGUAUACUUAAGAUUAUGUGUGCAGUUUAAUACUUAAGAUUAUGAUUGAUUAAGUAACAACUGUUGUGUGCAACACUGGAAUGAAUAUUAUCUUUUUGCACCCCUAUUAGCUGGCAAGGAAAUUUACUUUGCUAAUUAUUAAAUCUCCUUCCGUGUCAAAUAAAAUAUCUUGCUAAAAGAAUACAUUCUGUGUCAAAUAAAAUAUCUUGCUAAAAGGUAAUUAUUUUUUUUAAUUUUAAACUUUAUUCAUGACUAAUACUUGAAAUCAAUCUUGUUGUAUUUUUACCAUUCAAGAAUAAACGACUAAUAUUUUAUCCACAAAAUACUUGUAUUUAAAAUAAUAUGUUGGUCAUUCAAAAAGUAAAACACAACCAUAACAAAGAUAAUCUUACUCAUAAUUUAAAAAGUACAAAACAUAACCAUAACAAAGAUAACCCUUCUCAUAAUUUAAUUUUUCUCCUUUUUGACUGUCUUGCUCAUCUUGGUAGUUGACAUUUGAGCAUUUUUUAAUUCUUGUGAUAAUUGAUUAUCAUUGUCAAUAUCUGAACACAAUCUCUUGCAUGGAGUUACAGAAAAUGAUGUAUUUGGAUCAUGAUUUGUUGAUCCACAAAAACUUUCCUACAAAAGUAAAGAAUAUAUAUAAGGUCCUAUUAUAUGAUGUAAUAAAGAGGAAAUAAAAACGAUAUAUCAAUAUACUUACAAUACAAGUUUCUGUAUCAGCUCCUAAAUCAUAAAUUUCACUCAAUUGUCCACUAUGCUGAAAUUAGAAGAAAUUAUUAUAUUAGAUGCACAUAAUACAUAUACUAAUGGCAGUAUAAAAUUAAAAUAAUAUUAUAUAUGAUAUAUAUUUCAUAAAAUGUUAUGAUAAAAAUGUGAUAGUCAUUAUACCUGUUCAGGUUGGAGUUGACCUUUAAUUUCCUCAAUAAUUUCAACAUCAUUAGAAACUUUCAUAACUGACAUAGAUUUGCUCCGUGAUUGAACUUUAACCUUAAAUGCCAAAGUACACCCUAAAAUUACAUCUAAAUCAUUUGGAAAGCAUUUGGGAUCAUCCUCACCAACCUAACGUUAAAAUAUAAAGAUGUUAGUAAAUAGAAAUAGUUUUAGUAUAUUGUAAAUAUUUAUAUAUAAACAACAAAAGUUAAAAGGUAGGCUAAUAACCUCAAUCAUAGACUUUCUCAAAUUUGCAGCUGACAUUCCGAUAAUCGAUGCACAAUCUUGAUCCCAAAAAACAAAGUUAGCAUAAUCCUUUCCAUAACAAACUUGAACUUCCAACUUGUACCUAAAGAGUAAAAUUUAUUAAUAACAUUUAAUUUCACAUGAUAGUAUUUAAAUAUGAUUUUAAAUUAAGUAAUUGUCAUAAUAUAUUAAUGUACUAACUUGAGAACAGGAUUGUCAUUGUAUUUGUCACAUUUAUUGCACUUGAAAGCACCUACUUGAUUAGUUUUUUUGUUACAGUGCGUGCAUGCAAAAUAACUCCAACCAUCAUCACUUAAAUUAAAUUUAAUUGUAGUACCCACAGUAACACAAGUCAUCUCCUAUUAAAAUAAGCCAACAGAAAAGUCAGAAUAAUCUUAAUUAUUUGAAAUCAUGUAUCAUAAUUAAUAUGUACUUCAUACACACCUCUUUUAUGGCAUUAAUCUCUGAGAUACUUUUCACUGUCGCUUUAAACAUAAAUCUUUCUUGUUUGCUAUACUGGGAAGAUGUAGGCAUUUGAGUUUGAUGUUGACUUUGACUAAUCUCGGACAAAGGCAUUCUACCAAAUAUCAUACAAAUAAUUAUACAUUAACAUAUAUAUAUAUAUAUAAUUAUCACCCUUCAUUAUGUUAAUUUGACCCAUGUACAAUAAAUAUAAAUAUAAGAAUACAAAUUCACACAUACUCUAUAUAUUUCUCCUUGAAUUCCCUUAUCUCUGGUAUAUCAUCAUCCGUAAACAACUUAGACCCAUGCCAUGAGUUAGAUAUUGAAACAGGCCAUGUUCCUAAACAUAUGUUAUAAUUCAAUAAUUAUUUAAGUAAUUGAAACAUUGUUCAUAUAUAAGUGAAUGAAACAUUGAAUUACCUGAUGGUGCUUUGAUCUUUGCUUGAGUCAAAAUGACUAUUGUUGUAUCAGAAUUUUGUUUUUCGUUCCAAUGGCUUAAAAAUUUGGUUGCAUAGUUAUCCCAUAGGGUGCAUCCAAUUACACUACCACUACAAAUUCAUGAAGUAAACCACAUUAAAUAAUUAUUGUUGCAGCUCCAAUUUCUGAAAAACCUAAUAUUAAUUACCUUAGAUCCAUGACAUUAAAGAACACACAGUUUGAGUUGAGUCUAUUUUUAACAUUGUCCACAGCCCCAAUUAUAUCUUAGAAUCAUGACACCAAACUCAUUAGUUAGCAUAACAUAACCGUGUUUAGAGUAAUGAGUAAUAAGUAGAGAAAUAUAAUAUAGGCUUACCAAUCAAGAUAUCAGUAGUAGAGUAGGUUCCAUCUACAAUUUCCUUUAUACUUUUGAAAUUGUACACUCUGAUAGGCACAUUUGCAAUUUCUUGCGGCUUAAUAGCUGUUGCACCAAUGAACAUUAAUUUAUAGGGGUGUUCACACACUUUAUAUUGUCCUUGGUUCUUUAGGAUUUUGAAAUUGUGCAUAACAUAAGUUUGACCCUCGAUCAAUUUAUCCUCCCACAGCCCUACAUCUUCCUUCUUAACAAAAGCAGGCUUGUACAUUUGUAUGGCGGAGAUACUCGACUGAUAGGGAGAGGAACGAAGUAGCGUGUUGUUGAUAGAACAAGGUAUGAAGUAGCUCGACAUUAUAAAAGGAGAGGGGUUGGCUGGCUUCCCUACUUCGUCUUCUAUCUUUCUUUUUCUUUGAUUUCCGUUCCAGAGUAGGGUACUACAAAUUUGCAAAAAUGUUUUUAUCUACUAUCAUUUUUCUUAUUUCAAGUGCUACCACACAUGACUCAUUUUUAU
Long non-coding RNA from Vigna unguiculata (cowpea), 3272 nucleotides. NCBI's taxonomy places the organism in Eukaryota, Viridiplantae, Streptophyta, Magnoliopsida, Fabales, Fabaceae. The record is from RefSeq and is a predicted model, not a curated record.